RNAcentral lists this ribosomal RNA (508 nucleotides) under uncultured bacterium. Its description in RNAcentral is "bacterial SSU rRNA". It matches the Rfam family "Bacterial small subunit ribosomal RNA", at positions 20 to 518 of the family's 1533-position model. The record is from RNAcentral.
UGGCUCAGAUUGAACGCUGGCGGCAGGCUUAGCACAUGCAAGUCGAGCGGGGAUAGGGUGCUUGCACCUGAUUCCUAGCGGCGGACGGGUGAGUAAUGCUUAGGAAUCUGCCUAGUUAGUGGGGGGACAACGUUCCGAAAGGGACGCUAAUACCGCAUACGUCCUACGGGAGAAAGCAGGGGAUCUUCGGACCUUGCGCUAAUAGAUGAGCCUAAGUCGGAUUAGCUAGUUGGUGGGGUAAAGGCCUACCAAGGCGACGAUCUGUAGCGGGUCUGAGAGGAUGAUCCGCCACACUGGGACUGAGACACGGCCCAGACUCCUACGGGAGGCAGCAGUGGGGAAUAUUGGACAAUGGGGGCAACCCUGAUCCAGCCAUGCCGCGUUGUGUGAAGAAGGCCUUUUGGUUGUAAAGCACUUUAAGCGAGGAGGAGGCUUACCUGGUUAAUACCCGGGAUAAGUGGACGUUACUCGCAGAAUAAGCACCGGCUAACUCUGUGCCAGCCGCCGC